RNAcentral lists this long non-coding RNA (515 nucleotides) under Anas platyrhynchos platyrhynchos (common mallard). RNAcentral's name for it is "lncRNA (ENSAPLG00000026729.1)". Lineage: Eukaryota; Metazoa; Chordata; Aves; Anseriformes; Anatidae. The record is from RNAcentral.
UUCCUCCUGUUAUCAGAACAAAUGUUACAAUCAAAACCAAUGCUGAACAUUAAAUUACUUUUCUGUAAAACACAAUUUUUGCUUAUCCAUGAAAAAUGUGGUAAUUAUUCUUUGGAUUUGGAGACUUUGGAUUUGGAGCUACCGAAGUUUAAUUUUGUAAUUUGUUAGCUGGCAUGUUAAGGGAGUAAUGACCAGUUUGUAAUUACGAUAUCAGCUGGGUUUAGUACAGUCAUGGGAGAACUGUUUGCCAAGGGGUGGGCAGAGGAGUGCAAAGCUGCCCAGUUAGUGGUCUGCAAUUACCAUCUGAGGACUGGGCAGGUGCUGGAUUGCUUGCUUGAUCCUGGCCAUGUUGCUGUGACUGGAGAAGAGCAAGCAUUCAAGUAUUUUGGGAGUGCAGUAAUGGACAUGUGUGAAGAAAUGGAAUUACCAUAUUUGAACAGUAAGACUUACUACUGGGAUUUCCAGACUUUUGAGUCUGUGUUCAGUACUUUUUGUGCUUUUGCAGCUUUAAAGUG